This 468-nucleotide ribosomal RNA is filed under the name uncultured bacterium. Its description in RNAcentral is "partial 16S ribosomal RNA". It matches the Rfam family "Bacterial small subunit ribosomal RNA", at positions 28 to 507 of the family's 1533-position model. The record is from RNAcentral.
GACGAACGCUGGCGGCGUGCUUAACACAUGCAAGUCGAACGGAAAGGCCCUGCUUUUGUGGGGUGCUCGAGUGGCGAACGGGUGAGUAACACGUGAGUAACCUGCCCUUGACUUUGGGAUAACUUCAGGAAACUGGGGCUAAUACCGGAUAGGAGCUCCUGCUGCAUGGAGGGGGUUGGAAAGUUUCGGCGGUUGGGGAUGGACUCGCGGCUUAUCAGCUUGUUGGUGGGGUAGUGGCUUACCAAGGCUUUGACGGGUAGCCGGCCUGAGAGGGUGACCGGCCACCUUGGGCCUGAGGUACGGCCCAGACUCCUACGGGAGGCAGCAGUCGGGAAUAUUGCACAAUGGUCCGACGCCUGAUGCAGCAACGCCGCGUGCGGGAUGCCGCCCUUCGGGUUGUAAACCGCUUUCGCCUGUGACGAAGCGUUACUGACGGUAAUGGGUAAAGAAGCACCGGCUAACUACGUA